RNAcentral lists this ribosomal RNA (484 nucleotides) under uncultured bacterium. RNAcentral's name for it is "partial 16S ribosomal RNA". It matches the Rfam family "Bacterial small subunit ribosomal RNA", at positions 30 to 507 of the family's 1533-position model. The record is from RNAcentral.
AUUGAACGCUGGCGGCAGGCCUAACACAUGCAAGUCGAGCGGAUGAAGGGAGCUUGCUCCUGGAUUCAGCGGCGGACGGGUGAGUAAUGCCUAGGAAUCUGCCUGGUAGUGGGGGAUAACGUCCGGAAAAGGGCGCUAAUAACACAUACGUCCUGAGGGAGAAAGAGGGGGAUCUUCGGACCUCACGCUAUCAGAUGAUCCUAGGUCGGAUUAGCUAGUUGGUGGGGUAAAGGCCUACCAAGGCGACGCUCCGUAACUGGUCUGAGAGGAUGAUCAGUCACACUGGAACGGAGACACGGUCCAGACUCCUACGGGAGGCAGCAGUGGGGAAUAUUGGACAAUGGGCGAAAGCCUGAUCCAGCCAUGCCGCGUGUGUGAAGAAGGUCUUCGGAUUGUAAAGCACUUUAAGUUGGGAGGAAGGGCAGUAAGUUAAUACCUUGCUGUUUUGACGUUACCAACAGAAUAAGCACCGGCUAACUUCGUG